GACGAACGCUGGCGGCGUGCGUAACACAUGCAAGUCGAGCGGUAAGGCCCUUUCGGGGGUACACGAGCGGCGAACGGGUGAGUAACACGUGGGUGACCUGCCCUCAGCUCUGGGAUAAGCCUGGGAAACCGGGUCUAAUACUGGAUAUGACUCCAUGACGCAUGUUGUGGGGUGGAAAGCCUUGUGCGGCUGAGGAUGGGCCCGCGGCCUAUCAGCUUGUUGGUGGGGUGANGGCCUACCAAGGCGACGACGGGUAGCCGGCCUGAGAGGGCGACCGGCCACACUGGGACUGAGACACGGCCCAGACUCCUACGGGAGGCAGCAGGUGGGGAAUCUUGCGCAAUGGGCGAAAGCCUGACGCAGCGACGCCGCGUGAGGGAUGACGGCCUGGUU
Molecule: ribosomal RNA, 393 nt
Filed under: uncultured bacterium
Lineage: Bacteria
Description: bacterial SSU rRNA
Rfam family: Bacterial small subunit ribosomal RNA
Source: RNAcentral